GUGCUCGCUUUGCAGCACAUAUACUAACAUUGGAACAAUACAGAGCGGAUGCACAUGGCCCCUGUGCAAGGGUGACACGCAAAUUUUUGAAGCAAAAAAAAGAAAG
Molecule: small nuclear RNA, 106 nt
Organism: Nannospalax galili (Upper Galilee mountains blind mole rat)
Lineage: Eukaryota; Metazoa; Chordata; Mammalia; Rodentia; Spalacidae
Source: Ensembl